This 380-nucleotide ribosomal RNA is filed under the name uncultured eukaryote. RNAcentral describes it as "partial 18S ribosomal RNA". It matches the Rfam family "Eukaryotic small subunit ribosomal RNA", at positions 592 to 976 of the family's 1831-position model. The record is from RNAcentral.
CAAUAGCGUAUAUUAAAGUUGUUGCGGUUAAAAAGCUCGUAGUUGGAUUUCUGCUGAGGACGAUCGGUCCGCCCUCUGGGUGAGUAUCUGGCUUGGCCUUGGCAUCUUCUUGGAGAACGUUACUGCACUUGACUGUGUGGUGCGGUAUCCAGGACUUUUACUUUGAGGAAAUUAGAGUGUUUCAAGCAGGCGCACGCCUUGAAUACAUUAGCAUGGAAUAAUAAGAUAGGACCUUGGUUCUAUUUUGUUGGUUUCUAGAGCUGAGGUAAUGAUUAAUAGGGAUAGUUGGGGGCAUUCGUAUUUAACUGUCAGAGGUGAAAUUCUUGGAUUUGUUAAAGACGGACUACCGCGAAAGCAUUUGCCAAGGAUGUUUUCAUUGA